GUGCCAGCAGCCGCGGUAAUACGUAGGUGGCAAGCGUUGUCCGGAUUUAUUGGGCGUAAAGCGAGCGCAGGCGGUUUUGUAAGUCUGCUGUGAAAGCCCUCAGCUCAACUGAGGAAGUGCUUUGGAAACUGUCGAACUUGAGUGCAGUAGAGGUAAGUGGAACUCCAUGUGUAGCGGUGGAAUGCGUAGAUAUAUGGAAGAACACCAGUGGCGAAGGCGGCUUACUGGACUGCAACUGACGUUGAGGCUCGAAAGUGUGGGUAGCAAACAGGAUUAGAUACCCUGGUAGUCCAUGCCGUAAACGAUGAAUACUAGGUGUUGGAGGGUUUCCGCCCUUCAGUGCCGCAGCUAACGCAUUAAGUAUUCCGCCUGGGGAGUACGACCGCAAGGUUGAAACUCAAAGGAAUUGACGGGGGCCCGCACAAGUGGUGGAGCAUGUGGUUUAA
This 446-nucleotide ribosomal RNA is filed under the name uncultured bacterium. Its description in RNAcentral is "bacterial SSU rRNA". It matches the Rfam family "Bacterial small subunit ribosomal RNA", at positions 505 to 949 of the family's 1533-position model. The record is from RNAcentral.